This 354-nucleotide unclassified non-coding RNA is filed under the name soil metagenome. RNAcentral describes it as "partial contains 5.8S ribosomal RNA, internal transcribed spacer 2, and large subunit ribosomal RNA". The stretch from base 1 to 120 matches the Rfam family "5.8S ribosomal RNA", at positions 35 to 154 of the family's 154-position model. The record is from RNAcentral.
GAUGAAGAACGCAGCGAAAUGCGAUAAGUAAUGUGAAUUGCAGAAUUCCGUGAAUCAUCGAAUCUUUGAACGCACAUUGCGCCCCCUGGCAUUCCGGGGGGCAUGCCUGUCCGAGCGUCAUUUCUGCCCUCCAGCCCGGCUGGGUGUUGGGCGCUGUCCCCCCGGGGACACGCCCCAAAGGCAGUGGCGGCGCCGCGUCGGGUCCUCGAGCGUAUGGGGCUUUGUCACCCGCUCGGGACGGACUCGUCGGCGCUGGUCUUCCUCCAGGCGACCCUUCGGGGCACGUCUUCCUUCGGUUGACCUCGGAUCAGGUAGGGUUACCCGCUGAACUUAAGCAUAUCAAUAAGCGGAGGA